AAUGAAUUACACACUAGUGUAGCGGCACUCCAAACCCUAGUGUUUCAGCGAACACAAAGUUCGGUAGCAAAUCACACUUAUGGAUGCUUUGUUUGUAGUUAAGAAUAAUGCAGAAUAAGGAGGACAACUCAGAAGUCGAAUGGAAAUUCUGAGAGGAAGAAAUGCAAAGUAUAGCCGAUGUUGAAUUCUUACUGAAGAGAAUAUCAUAUUGCAAUUUGUUUCUCCAGUAUACACGCAAUGUAUACAGAAUGUAUAUAAAAAAUAUACAGAGUGUUUCGAGUGUUU
This 285-nucleotide long non-coding RNA is filed under the name Nicotiana benthamiana. Its description in RNAcentral is "long non-coding RNA (NBEN_LNC008402)". The record is from RNAcentral. Lineage: Eukaryota; Viridiplantae; Streptophyta; Magnoliopsida; Solanales; Solanaceae.